Molecule: non-coding RNA, 935 nt
Organism: Triticum urartu
Lineage: Eukaryota; Viridiplantae; Streptophyta; Magnoliopsida; Poales; Poaceae
Source: RefSeq, a predicted model, not a curated record
GCGGCGCAGCCAACUCUCUCUCUCGCCCCUCUCUUUCUCUCCCCCACGCGGCUCCUCGCCGCCGCCGCCCCAAUUCCAGCGACUUUCGACGGCUAUGGCCAGUGCGCGGCACACCCUCUUCUUCCCCUCACUCUGCUCCUUCCUCCCCUCGCCACCAGCGCUUGCCCACAAGCCCUCCCCGUGGCUAGGGUUUCGGCGCCGGCGAGGCUUCAAUGGAUCUGGCGGCUCAUCUCUGGCCACCGCGUGUUCCUCCACCACCGUCGGGCAGCUCGACCUGUGGUUGUCCUCCCCGACCGUCGGGCAGCUCGAUCUGUUGCUUCCUCCGUGAUAGCGCCACAACAAGGCCCACUGCUGCCCUUUCAGAUGCAGAGCAGCUCGACCUCAACUUCCCUCCCUGACUGCUGGAACUCGCGUUAGUGCACUACCCUGAUGCCGGAGCUCGCGUCGCUGUCCUGCCGCCACCACUGAAGUUGAGUGUCAAAGUUUGUGAAAUUUGCUUGAGGGCCAUCCGGUCAAGUACAUCAUGAAGAAAGGGAAGGUAUGAGUGACCCGCCUAAGUGCACAAUAUGGUUGUGGUUUAAUCUGGAACCAACGAACCUGACGUGUUGCAUGUCAAACAAAAUCGUGAAACAAAUGUAUGAUUGUGUAGCAGGCUACUUGCUGUCUAUUGCAAUCCGUCUCGACAUGAUAAUUGCCAUCAGGAGUGCCGACGGCAAGAACCUGAAUAACAACCUCGAUAUUUUUUAUGUUGUGUUGAUGUAAACUGGAAAGUGCUGGUUCCUAACCAUGAUAUGUGAUGUAUUUCGUCAAUUGGUGUUGUAAAUCAUCAUUUCAUGGCGUAUUUUGUAAACUGUGAUCUUGUAGAUACUGAUGUAUGGCUGAAUAAUUACUAGGCGAUUAUGUGUAUUGUACUGCGAUAUGUGAUGUACUUUGGA